This is a long non-coding RNA of Zingiber officinale, 447 nucleotides long. RefSeq lists it as uncharacterized. The record is from RefSeq and is a predicted model, not a curated record. NCBI's taxonomy places the organism in Eukaryota, Viridiplantae, Streptophyta, Magnoliopsida, Zingiberales, Zingiberaceae. The transcript is spliced from 3 exons.
CCGGAGCUUGCCGCAGCUUGCCGGAGUUGCCGACAAAGAACCUUAAUUGCUGCCCUAAUUUCCAGCAGCCACACAAAACCCUUAGAAGAUCCGAGCUCGAGUGGAGCACGGUGACCUGCCGAUACUCGGAGAUUUUUGCUGUAUAUAAGGCAAUGCCACGAGCCCGUGGUCGCGGUUGGGGCAGUAGCCGUGCCCGUAGUCGCAGUCGUGGUCGCGACAGUGGUAGUGGUCGUGGUCGUGCAUGUCAGCGUGCCACUACUACUGAUCUUGGUUUGGAUGAGGCUCCUAUCUCCCCAUCUGAGUUGAUACCGGGAGCUCAGGUUGGUCCCAGUAUUGGAGUCGGUGGUCAGACUGAGGGACAACCUCAUCUUGUUGCAGCUCAGGUAGCCGUACCAGCCAUUCCUACAGCAUCGUUUAUUAUGGAAAAGGCCCGUAUUCCUUUGCUUG